Molecule: ribosomal RNA, 265 nt
Filed under: Novosphingobium fluoreni
Lineage: Bacteria; Pseudomonadati; Pseudomonadota; Alphaproteobacteria; Sphingomonadales; Sphingomonadaceae
Description: partial 23S ribosomal RNA
Rfam family: Bacterial large subunit ribosomal RNA
Source: RNAcentral
UCUCAAGCGUGAGGUAAGAGCAUUUGGUGGAUGCCUUGGCAUGUACAGGCGAUGAAGGACGUGGCACGCUGCGAUAAGCGUCGGGGAGUUGUGAGCAAACUUUGAUCCGGCGAUUUCCGAAUGGGGAAACCCACCUUCACCAUUUCAUUCAUUCUGUGAGCGAUCACAGUCUGAGUGAGGUGGAACAGGUAUCACCGAGCUGAAUAAAAUAGGCUUGGUGAAGCGAACCCGGGGAACUGAAACAUCUAAGUACCCGGAGGAAAAG